RNAcentral lists this ribosomal RNA (252 nucleotides) under uncultured bacterium. RNAcentral's name for it is "partial 16S ribosomal RNA". It matches the Rfam family "Bacterial small subunit ribosomal RNA", at positions 526 to 779 of the family's 1533-position model. The record is from RNAcentral.
CGUAGGUGGCAAGCGUUGUCCGGAAUUAUUGGGCGUAAAGCGCGCGCAGGCGGUCUUUAAGUCUGAUGUGAAAGCCCACGGCUCAACCGUGGAGGGUCAUUGGAAACUGGGAGACUUGAGUACAGAAGAGGAGAGUGGAAUUCCACGUGUAGCGGUGAAAUGCGUAGAUAUGUGGAGGAACACCAGUGGCGAAGGCGACUCUCUGGUCUGUAACUGACGCUGAGGCGCGAAAGCGUGGGAGCAAACAGGAUU